Molecule: ribosomal RNA, 440 nt
Filed under: uncultured bacterium
Lineage: Bacteria
Description: partial 16S ribosomal RNA
Rfam family: Bacterial small subunit ribosomal RNA
Source: RNAcentral
CCUACGGGAGGCAGCAGUAGGGAAUAUUGCUCAAUGGGGGAAACCCUGAAGCAGCAACGCCGCGUGGAGGAUGAAGGUUUUCGGAUUGUAAACUCCUUUUGUUAGAGAAGAUAAUGACGGUAUCUAACGAAUAAGCACCGGCUAACUCCGUGCCAGCAGCCGCGGUAAUACGGAGGGUGCAAGCGUUACUCGGAAUCACUGGGCGUAAAGAGCGCGUAGGCGGGAUAGCAAGUCAGAUGUGAAAUCCUAUGGCUUAACCAUAGAACUGCAUUUGAUACUGGUAUUCUAGAGUAUGGGAGAGGUAGGUGGAAUUCUUGGUGUAGCGGUAAAAUGCGUAGAGAUCACGAAGAAUACUCAUUGCGAAGGCGGCCUACUAGAACAUAACUGACGCUGAUGCGCGAAAGCGUGGGGAGCAAACAGGAUUAGAUACCCCGGUAGUC